GACGAACGCUGGCGGCGUGCUUAACACAUGCAAGUCGAACGGAAAGGCCCUUCGGGGUACUCGAGUGGCGAACGGGUGAGUAACACGUGGGUGAUCUGCCCUGCACUUUGGGAUAAGCCUGGGAAACUGGGUCUAAUACCGAAUAGGACCACGCGCUUCAUGGUGUGUGGUGGAAAGCUUUUGCGGUGUGGGAUGGGCCCGCGGCCUAUCAGCUUUUUGGUGGGGUAAUGGCCUACCAAGGCGACGACGGGUAGCCGGCCUGAGAGGGUGACCGGCCACACUGGGACUGAGAUACGGCCCAGACUCCUACGGGAGGCAGCAGUGGGGAAUAUUGCACAAUGGGCGCAAGCCUGAUGCAGCGACGCCGCGUGAGGGAUGACGGCCUUCGGGUUGUAAACCUCUUUCAAUAGGGAAGAAGCGCAAGUGACGGUACCUAUAGAAGAAGCACCGGCCAACUACGUG
RNAcentral lists this ribosomal RNA (462 nucleotides) under uncultured bacterium. RNAcentral's name for it is "partial 16S ribosomal RNA". It matches the Rfam family "Bacterial small subunit ribosomal RNA", at positions 28 to 507 of the family's 1533-position model. The record is from RNAcentral.